UACAUAUCGAAAUUUUCGGCAGCGGCUAGAAUUGAAGGGUGAGUGCAGAGACGUAGCAGAACAUUUUAAGCAAUGUAUUGAGUUGGAGUUUGACGAAAUUCCCGAGGAUGCGGCUCUCCAUCCCACAUGCUACCGGAGGUUUAUUGACAAGCGGGAAAUUGAACGAGUCACACGGCGUGUCUUGCGAGAGGCAGAGAGGGGAGAUGGCCAACAAGACCCCCGAACUAGCCAGGCUACCUCCGCUUUAUCGGCUGUGACCACCACUCCGACCAGGAAACUGCGAUCCAGAUCAAGCUUGGCCAUCACGAGCUCUGGCCCCGUUCUUCCUGCUGUCUGCAUGAUUUGCAAGAAAGACAGCAAAUGUAUCGUCGCGAGUGGCAGACGUCAAAGAGAACGAAAACACAGACUUUAACCGCAGGCAAGUUGCAGGAAGCAGCUGAAGUAAAGGAAGCCAAGAGCAUCCUCAUUCACAUCAAGGACAGAGACUGUGUGGCUCUGGAGGUGCAGUACCACAGAAGUUGCUACAGAGAGUACACAAGGUUUUUGAGUGAGCCUGUCAGAGCAGAGAAAGAACAGAUUGGGCCAACAUUUGAUCUGAGCUACAAGUUAUUCUGCGAGAGGGUAAUCCGCUAAAGGCUACUGAUCAACCAAGAGGUGCUGAGGAUGAGCCAACUGAGGAAGGCCUUUAUUGCCCUUGUGCAGUCAAGUGAAGGUGUUGAUGCUUCAACCUACAGACAGGAUAUAUUGAAGAAGAGGCUCAGUCGUGAUUUUCCUCAGCUAGUGUUCCACACCCCCGCCAAACGCAACACAUCUGAACUGGUUUUUGCUGAGAACUUGUCGACGAAUGCAGUCUUGGACUUGUUACCAUCAGGUGCGGAGACGACUCAGUCCAGCGAAAUGAGCCAGACAGACAGCGACACAGAAAGGAGGAAGUCAAAGCAACCAACCACAGCAGAGGAGACACGGACACUUUACACAGCAGCUUUGCUUUUGAAGAGGCUGCUUAGUAACAGUCCUGGCAUGUCAUGCCCAUGGCCCCCAACUGCAGUAAACUUCAAUCUCACUGAAGUCAUUUUCUGUGGCAUGCGCAAAAGAUGUGUACCUGGAUGCUUUCACACAGUUCAUGAAAAUGCCGGUUCAUGUGUAUGCCACUUGUUUUGAUUUUUUUAUUUGUUGUAUAGUUAUUAGUGAAUAAAUGAAUACAUGAA
Engraulis encrasicolus (European anchovy) is the source of this 1208-nucleotide long non-coding RNA. RefSeq lists it as uncharacterized. The record is from RefSeq and is a predicted model, not a curated record. The transcript has 4 exons. NCBI's taxonomy places the organism in Eukaryota, Metazoa, Chordata, Actinopteri, Clupeiformes, Engraulidae.